GACGAACGCUGGCGGCGUGCCUAAUACAUGCAAGUUGAGCGCUGAAGGUUGGUACUUGUACCAACUGGAUGAGCAGCGAACGGGUGAGUAACGCGUGGGGAAUCUGCCUUUGAGCGGGGGACAACAUUUGGAAACGAAUGCUAAUACCGCAUAAAAACUUUAAACACAAGUUUUAAGUUUGAAAGAUGCAAUUGCAUCACUCAAAGAUGAUCCCGCGUUGUAUUAGCUAGUUGGUGAGGUAAAGGCUCACCAAGGCGAUGAUACAUAGCCGACCUGAGAGGGUGAUCGGCCACAUUGGGACUGAGACACGGCCCAAACUCCUUCGGGAGGCAGCAGUAGGGAAUCUUCGGCAAUGGACGAAAGUCUGACCGAGCAACGCCGCGUGAGUGAAGAAGGUUUUCGGAUCGUAAAACUCUGUUGGUAGAGAAGAACGUUGGUGAGAGUGGAAAGCUCAUCAAGUGACGGUAACUACCCAGAAAGGGACGGCUAACUACGUG
RNAcentral lists this ribosomal RNA (497 nucleotides) under uncultured bacterium. RNAcentral's name for it is "partial 16S ribosomal RNA". It matches the Rfam family "Bacterial small subunit ribosomal RNA", at positions 28 to 507 of the family's 1533-position model. The record is from RNAcentral.